This 494-nucleotide ribosomal RNA is filed under the name uncultured bacterium. RNAcentral describes it as "partial 16S ribosomal RNA". It matches the Rfam family "Bacterial small subunit ribosomal RNA", at positions 28 to 507 of the family's 1533-position model. The record is from RNAcentral.
GACGAACGCUGGCGGCGUGCUUAACACAUGCAAGUCGAACGGAAAGGCCUGCCUUCCCUUGUGGAUUGCGGGUACUCGAGUGGCGAACGGGUGAGUAACACGUGAGUGAUCUGCCCCCAACUUGGGUAUAAGCCUGGGAAACUGGGUCUAAUUCCCGAUAGGACUGCAGGGUGGUGCCUGUGGUGGAAAACGAUUUUCUAGUGGUUGGGGAUAAGCUCGCGGCCUAUCAGCUUGUUGGUGGGGUAAUGGCCUACCAAGGCGGCGACGGGUAGCCGGCCUGAGAGGGUGGACGGCUACAUUGGGACUGAGAUACGGCCCAGACUCCUACGGGAGGCAGCAGUGGGGAAUAUUGCACAAUGGGCGGAAGCCUGAUGCAGCGACGCCGCGUGGGGGAUGACGGCCUUCGGGUUGUAAACUCCUUUCGACCGCGAGGAAGCCACCUGGUUGGAAGGGUGGUGACGGUAGUGGUAGAAGAAGCACCGGCUAACUACGUG